AAACAAUUAAACAAUAAUUUGUAAUAGUCUUCAAUUGUUCUCCAGUUUACUGGCGAGAUGUUUUAGUAAUGUACAUCAGAUUAUUGACUGAACAUUGAUUUUUCAAUCUCAUUUUGAACGUGUUGUUUAUUUGAUGAUUGGAAGAAUUCAUCCAGUUUUCCAAAAGGCAGGACAAAAUGUGACAAAUAAUGAUUUGAAUGAACAGAUUUGAUUAUUUGUUAUAAAUAUUAUAUCAUUGUUUGUUUUCUGUUCCACAGAUUCUGCCAGAGUGGAUUGAGUUCACUUCGAUUCCUGAAUUAUAGUAUAUUUAUUUGUCAAUCUUCCUGUCUUCAUCUAUACAUCUGGUAGCUGAAAUUCAAGGCUGUUGCCAGGCAGAACGUUAAGAAAGACCAUUCAGAUUUCACAGAUUAAGAGAGAAUAAUUUAAAUGAAUGUCUCCGCCUCCACUCACGAGAGAACCACGACGCAUGGGAAGUUCAUCGCUAUGAAAUCUCGUUUGAGAAGUCUCAUUCAGCACAGAUCACGAUAUUUGCCAUCAGUUCACGUGUGCCACACGUUGGCUGAAAAGACCUAAAGGAAGCAGUCAGCCCGGUCGUGUUAGUGGAGACUAUUCGUUCAGAAACAGAAGACACACAUUUGGAUUUCUUGCAGAUUUCCUCCGUCAUGCACUCACCUUUUUAACUCUUUAUCCCACACACAUACUGAAAUGGCAUCUGGAUCAAUAUUAAGACUUGCAGUGUUUUUUUUUUCUUUUCUUUUUUUUUUUUUUGCAGAUGCAACUUUGUUUUAAUUAUAAGCUUGUAAUGAAUACAUUUUCACUUUCCAACAACCCAUAUACAGUAUAUAUAUAUAUACACAGAACCAAUAAUAAAAAUAAUAGGUGAAAAAUAGUCUUAUUGGUAAAGCUUUGUUUUAUCUUUUUCGAGCUUCAUAAACUGUACUUGGUGUCUUCCUAAUGCUUAUAUCAAAUAAAAAAGAAAGAAAAUAUUUUAAUAUUUUAACCCAAGUUUUCAUUCAUUUAGCAAGCCCAGCUCAUAUUGAGAAAAAGUAAUUUUUCAUAAUUGGUUACUUUUUUUAGGGAGUAACACAAUAUUGUAAAGCAUUAUUUCUGAUUCGAGUCUACACAAAUUAAAGUAGAUCGUACACAGUUUCAAAUAAAGUAUUGCUUUUAUAUGUACGAGCAAAAAUGAUGGUGCAUUUUAAGUUGUUUCCACUGUAACAGUUCCACACUCCACACAAACACUGAAUAUUGCAGUGGACGCAGACGUGAAGAGAAGAAGCAUCUUGGGGAUUUCUUUGGGAUGUCGAGUGCUACCCUGCCACAUGAGUGACGCCGUCGUGUCUUAUUCUGUCAUCUUCAGCUGAAGAGCUGUAUGUAUUGUGAGCUAUAAUGGAGAAAUGUGUCCGUGUGCUUCUGGUCAGGCGUGUUCAUAUGUACAGUACAGCGACUACAUGAACAAGAAGGAGGCGCUUCCCAAGUAACACAGACUCUGCUUUCUGAGUUUUAAGGUUGUGUGUUCACUUUAAUUAUGAUAAUGAUGGUGUUUUUGUAGGGCUGCCUUCCAGUACGCCAUCAAAAUGUCCCAAAGAAACCAGUGAGAAGGCUGAGCUAGAUCGACUGGAAGAAAAUCAGUGCUGUGAGUGUACAGACUCAUCUGCUGCAUUCUGCCUAGUGUAUAAGAAAUCUGAAAUGAGCAGUGAGCAACUGGUCUGUGAUAUUUAUCAUCAGUGAUAAUAUUGUAAUUUGAGCAAUGUGCGAGUUGAGUGUAAGUAUGUCACUCACUUUGCAAAAAAACUAACAAAAACAUAUCUUGAGAGUGUGAAAGCAUUCAGAAGCCGUACCUUAAAUACCUUAAUCAGGUCAGUGCUACGUCAGCACAGAAGUUUAUCAUUUGGAAAUAUCUAAAACAUUCCAGCGAUUUUUACUCCAUUCAAGCGCAAGAAGAUGCAAAAGAGAACUUAAUUUGGCACUGUCCCAGUCUGAGGCACACACACAAACUGUGCACAGUAGAUAUGAUGCAUGUUGACUUAUAUCUUACCAAGAUGUGGUUUUAUAGUUUAGUUAAAAAAAUGUUAGUUAAAAAAAAUAAACAAGUUGCCAGCCACCACCAGCAUUUCUGAUCAUU
Long non-coding RNA from Carassius auratus (goldfish), 2125 nucleotides. RefSeq lists it as uncharacterized. The record is from RefSeq and is a predicted model, not a curated record. The transcript has 4 exons. NCBI's taxonomy places the organism in Eukaryota, Metazoa, Chordata, Actinopteri, Cypriniformes, Cyprinidae.